AUUGAACGCUGGCGGAAUGCUUUACACAUGCAAGUCGAACGGCAGCACGGGGCAACCUGGUGGCGAGUGGCGAACGGGUGAGUAAUGCAUCGGAACGUGCCCAAUCGUGGGGGAUAACGUAGCGAAAGUUACGCUAAUACCGCAUACGAUCUACGGAUGAAAGCGGGGGAUCGCAAGACCUCGCGCGAAUGGAGCGGCCGAUGUCAGAUUAGGUAGUUGGUGGGGUAAAGGCUCACCAAGCCAACGAUCUGUAGCUGGUCUGAGAGGACGACCAGCCACACUGGAACUGAGACACGGUCCAGACUCCUACGGGAGGCAGCAGUGGGGAAUUUUGGACAAUGGGCGCAAGCCUGAUCCAGCCAUUCCGCGUGCAGGAUGAAGGCCUUUGGGUUGUAAAGCUCUUUCGGCCGGGAAGAAAUCGCAUGGGUUAAUACCCUGUGUGGAUGACGGUACCGGAAUAAGAAGCACCGGCUAACUACGUGCCAGCAGCCGCGGUAAU
This 499-nucleotide ribosomal RNA is filed under the name uncultured bacterium. RNAcentral describes it as "bacterial SSU rRNA". It matches the Rfam family "Bacterial small subunit ribosomal RNA", at positions 30 to 524 of the family's 1533-position model. The record is from RNAcentral.